GCGGGUAUGGUUUAGUGGUAAAACUAUAGCUUCCCAAGCUAUCGAUGAGGGUUCGAUUCCCUCUACCCGCUCCA
RNAcentral lists this transfer RNA (74 nucleotides) under Pseudomonas fluorescens. RNAcentral describes it as "tRNA-Gly". It matches the Rfam family "tRNA". From Rfam's summary of the family: Transfer RNA (tRNA) molecules are approximately 80 nucleotides in length. Their secondary structure includes four short double-helical elements and three loops (D, anti-codon, and T loops). The record is from RNAcentral. Lineage: Bacteria; Pseudomonadati; Pseudomonadota; Gammaproteobacteria; Pseudomonadales; Pseudomonadaceae.